GAAAAUUACAACUAAGACCUAUCCUUUGGGAAUGCAAAAUUAUGAAGAAAGAGCAGGUAGCAAUGGAGGGAGAGCAGAAUGAAAUAAAGAACUAUUGUGAGGAAUGCAAGGACACAUGGUGAUGUGAUGAAAAGAAGACCAGCUGUGGUCACACAACAUCUAAAAGUUAUUGAUGUUGCCAAGAAAAGAGCAAAGCCAGUUGGAACAGAUGCAAGAACCAAAGAUGUCAUCUUUCAUCAUAGAUGCAUAAAGCAAACUCUCACACUUUCAUCAAAGAUGUGUAAUUACCAGGUUCUCACAUCCAUGAAGCUUUGCCCGAACACUAUUUGUUCAGUAACGGAGUAAGAGCCUACUGUGUAACAGACUCUGUGUUGUGGACCAAGAUAAAAUGGUCAAUGAAGUGCAUGAAUAAAACAUCAGCAGAUUGACCAACAGUUACAGUUCUCCUAUGAUGAUUUCUUU
This 462-nucleotide long non-coding RNA is filed under the name Homo sapiens (human). Its description in RNAcentral is "HSALNT0141199". The record is from RNAcentral. Lineage: Eukaryota; Metazoa; Chordata; Mammalia; Primates; Hominidae.